This 110-nucleotide ribosomal RNA is filed under the name Periophthalmus magnuspinnatus. Lineage: Eukaryota; Metazoa; Chordata; Actinopteri; Gobiiformes; Gobiidae. The record is from RNAcentral.
UGUGGUGGCCCUACCCUCUUGUCAAUGCCUCUCAGAUCUCAGAAGCUAAGCAAGUCUGGGCCUGGUAAGUGCUUGGAUGGGAGACUGCUGAGAACACCAGACCAACAGAG